This 78-nucleotide small RNA is filed under the name Enterobacter cloacae. RNAcentral's name for it is "isrK". It matches the Rfam family "isrK Hfq binding RNA". The record is from RNAcentral. Lineage: Bacteria; Pseudomonadati; Pseudomonadota; Gammaproteobacteria; Enterobacterales; Enterobacteriaceae.
GUUGUCGCAAAAUCGGCAACCGGGCGUAGGAACCCGAGUAAUCUAACGGCGACACCACACGCGCCAGGCGUGUUUUUU